RNAcentral lists this ribosomal RNA (744 nucleotides) under uncultured bacterium. RNAcentral's name for it is "bacterial SSU rRNA". It matches the Rfam family "Bacterial small subunit ribosomal RNA", at positions 8 to 796 of the family's 1533-position model. The record is from RNAcentral.
AGAGUUUGAUCCUGGCUCAGAACGAACGCUGGCGGCGCGCUUAACACAUGCAAGUCGCACGCACCUUUCGGGGUGAGUGGCGCACGGGUGAGUAACGCGUGGGAACCUGCCCUGGGGUUCGGGACAACCGCGGGAAACUGCGGCUAAUACCGGAUACGGCCAUUGGCGAAAGAAGUGAUUCGCCCUGGGAUGGGCCCGCGUCCGAUUAGCUUGUUGGUGGGGUAACGGCCUACCAAGGCUUCGAUCGGUAGCCGGUCUGAGAGGAUGAUCGGCCACACUGGGACUGAGACACGGCCCAGACUCCUACGGGAGGCAGCAGUGGGGAAUCUUGGACAAUGGGCGCAAGCCUGAUCCAGCGACGCCGCGUGGGUGACGAAGGCCUUCGGGUUGUAAAGCCCUUUUCCCGGGGACGAUGAUGACGGUACCCGGGGAAUAAGCACCGGCUAACUCCGUGCCAGCAGCCGCGGUAAGACGGAGGGUGCUAGCGUUGUUCGGAAUGACUGGGCGUAAAAGGGCGCGUAGGCGGCCAUUCACGUCGGAUGUGAAAGCCCGGGGCUCAACCCCGGAACGGCAUCCGAUACGGGCUGGCUCGAGACCGAGAGAGGUGAGUGGAAUACCCAGUGUAGAGGUGAAAUUCGUAGAUAUUGGGUGGAACACCGGUGGCGAAAGCGGCUCACUGGCUCGGUUCUGACGCUGAGGCGCGAAAGCGUGGGGAGCAAACAGGAUUAGAUACCCUAGUAGUCC